Molecule: ribosomal RNA, 201 nt
Filed under: Planctomycetaceae bacterium
Lineage: Bacteria; Pseudomonadati; Planctomycetota; Planctomycetia; Planctomycetales; Planctomycetaceae
Description: partial 23S ribosomal RNA
Rfam family: Bacterial large subunit ribosomal RNA
Source: RNAcentral
UGGUGAGCCAGUUGGACCGCUCGGUCCACCGCUGGGUAGCUAAGUGCGGCAGGGAUAACCGCUGAAAGCAUCUAAGCGGGAAGCCCACCUCGAGAUGAGCAUUGCUUUGAGACCCCCGAAAGACUAUCGGGUUGAUAGGUCGCACGUGUAAGUGCCGAAAUGCAUUCAGCGAAGCGAUACUAACGGUCGAAGAUUUGACCG